CGUGUAUAUCAGCACGAAAUUACUUGGGAGGAGGUCGGCGAAAUAAUCGCCGGAUAUAUGUCGAUCCAGUAUCAUUAGCUUUUUGCUGUUCAGUAUGACUAAAAACAAUGAUGAUUCUUUCCAGCAGUUGCUCAAUGCAUACCUGACGAUUACGGAGAAAUGCUUCAGACAAUGUAUCCAUAAGAAUGAAAGAGCCGAGUUGAAACUUAGAGAGGUUCGACGUUAUGAGGCCUGUGUAAAACGAGAAAUGAAGCUGUACAGAGAAGAUAUGUACAAUAAAAAUACAGAGUGGAAGACAGAAUGAAAUUUUAUUGUCUAUGUAUGUAUUUAGAUACAGUGUAAAUUAAAUGGAUUUCAUAAGUGACAUUUUCUGAUAAAUGUAAUACUUACAAAUAAACUCUGUUUCUCUUCUCAA
This 415-nucleotide long non-coding RNA is filed under the name Schistocerca americana (American grasshopper). RNAcentral describes it as "uncharacterized LOC124554681". The record is from RNAcentral. Lineage: Eukaryota; Metazoa; Arthropoda; Insecta; Orthoptera; Acrididae.